AACGCACCUUGCACCCUUUGGUAUUCCGAAGGGUAUGCCUGUUUGAGUGUCAUUAAAUUCUCAACCAUUGAAGUUUAUUCUUCUCUGGCUUGGAUGUGGGGGUUGCGGGCCUCUCAGAGGUCGGCUCCUCUUAAAUGCAUUAGUGGGAACCGUUUGUAGGGGUUCAUUUAUUAUUCACUUGACGUGAUAAUUUAUCUGCGUCACUUUUUGAAUACGAACUCUGAGGCUUCUGCUUCUAACCGCCCCGCAAGGGACAAACCUGACAUCUUUAUUUGACCUCAAAUCAGGUAGGACUACCCGCUGAACUUAA
This 310-nucleotide unclassified non-coding RNA is filed under the name uncultured Hemimycena. RNAcentral describes it as "sequence contains ITS2". The stretch from base 1 to 52 matches the Rfam family "5.8S ribosomal RNA", at positions 103 to 154 of the family's 154-position model. The record is from RNAcentral. Lineage: Eukaryota; Fungi; Basidiomycota; Agaricomycetes; Agaricales; Tricholomataceae.